UAGGCGCCGUGUAACUGACGGAAAGCCCAUUUGGGCAGGCAGGCUAAACUGCCGGGGAACGCGGCGUAUAAAAAGCCGACCGUCUGGGCAGCCUCU
This 96-nucleotide non-coding RNA is filed under the name unclassified sequences. The record is from Rfam.